RNAcentral lists this unclassified non-coding RNA (613 nucleotides) under Hevea brasiliensis (rubber tree). Lineage: Eukaryota; Viridiplantae; Streptophyta; Magnoliopsida; Malpighiales; Euphorbiaceae. The record is from RNAcentral.
UGGUAAUGGUAAUGGUAAUGGUAAUGGUAUAUCCAAGGCACAGAGUGAUGCUGAUGGUGGAUCACUUCGCCUUCCAGCAUUAACUUCUACACAGAGAAAACAAGAGAUACCAGCGAGGCAAACAACCAGCGGUUCUUCAAGAGAGGAUUCAGAUGAUGAUGAUCUUGAUGGAGAUACAGGAACCAAUGAACAUAUGGAUCCUGCUGAUGAAAAACGUGCAAGGAGGAUGCAGUCAAAUCGAGAGUCAGCCAGACGUUCAAGAAGAAGAAAACAGGCACAGCUAAAUGAACUCGAAGCACAGGUUGGUCAUCUGAGGGAUGAGCGCACUUCAUUGCUAACUCGCUUAACAGACAUAAAUAAGAAGUGUGAUGAUGCUUCUGUUGACAAUAGAAUUUUGAAUGCCAAUAUUGAAACAUUAAGGACAAAGGUCCAAAUGGCUGAAGAUCAAGUUAAACGAGUGACUGGUUUGAACCCUCUGCUUCUAGCAAGAUCCAACAUGCCCAGCAUAGGGAUGCAGUUUGUUGCUGGUCAAACCGAUGCAUCUGCGGGUGUUGCUGUGCCGAUGCAACCAAACAACAACCAUUUCUUUCACCAUUCAGUUCCUAAUAUCCCC